UGGAAAAUGGAGGUCAUCUAUCCUGUGAGG
RNAcentral lists this non-coding RNA (30 nucleotides) under Mus musculus (house mouse). Lineage: Eukaryota; Metazoa; Chordata; Mammalia; Rodentia; Muridae. The record is from RNAcentral.